GGCCGAGCACAUGGGCCCGCGGGCCGGGCGGGCUCGGGGCGGCCGGGACGAGGAGGGGCGACGACGAGCUGCGAGCAAAGAUGUGCCCCGGGACCCCCGGCACCUUCCAGUGGAUUUCCUUGCGGAAAGGAUGUUGGCGGUCCCUGUGACCUGUGGAGACACGGCCAGAUCUGCCCUCCAGCCUGAUCUUUUGGCCAGAAGGAGAUUAAAAAGAUGCCCCUCAAGAUGGCUGUGCCUGUCAGCUGCAUGGAGCUUCGUUCAAGUAUUUUCUGAGCCUGAUGGAUUUACAGUGAUCUUCAGUGGUCUGGGGAAUAACGCUGGUGGAACCAUGCACUGGAAUGACACACGCCCGGCACAUUUCAGGAUACUAAAAGUGGUUUUAAGGGAGGCUGUGGCUGAAUGCCUCAUGGAUUCUUACAGCUUGGAUGUCCAUGGGGGACGAAGGACUGCAGCUGGCUGAGAGGGUUGAGAUCUCUGUUUACUUAGAUCUCUGCCAACUUCCUUUGGGUCUCCCUAUGGAAUGUAAGACCCCGACUCUUCCUGGUGAAGCAUCUGAUGCACGUUCCAUCCGGCGCUCAGCUGGGCUUGAGAAUCCUGUUACACCUGGGAUUUAGGCACUUUCAAUCUGAAAAAAUACAUAUCCUUUCAGCACUCUGGACGGACUUGAGAACUGUCCUUACGUGACCUAAAGCUGGAGUAUUUUGAGAUUGGAGAAUUAAGGCCUUCAGUGGGUUGAAUGAGGCCCAACCCACAUUGAAGAGGACCAUCUGCUUUACUCAGUCUCCUGGUUGAAGUGAUAAUCUCAUCUGGACAUACUCAGAAAUGCUGUUUAACCAGCUCUCUGGAAAUCCUGUGGCCCAGUCAAGUUGACACACAAAAUUAACCAUCACACUGCAGAGACACAGUCUAUCCCAAUACCUGUAUUUACUGGAGUGUGGGCACCCUGGCUUCAAGCUCACGAGAAACCAGGUCGGGAUUUAAACAAUGUUGGGUUAAAGCAAAGUUUCAUAAAGACAGAAUCAAGAAAAAAAGAAAGAGAAA
Molecule: long non-coding RNA, 1041 nt
Filed under: Homo sapiens (human)
Lineage: Eukaryota; Metazoa; Chordata; Mammalia; Primates; Hominidae
Description: Pvt1 oncogene
Rfam family: Pvt1 oncogene conserved region 1 (bases 3-180)
Source: RNAcentral